This 518-nucleotide long non-coding RNA is filed under the name Rattus norvegicus (Norway rat). RNAcentral describes it as "long non-coding RNA NONRATT017849". The record is from RNAcentral. Lineage: Eukaryota; Metazoa; Chordata; Mammalia; Rodentia; Muridae.
UUUGAGAUCUGCGAUGAGCUGGAAGUGAAGCAUCCAACCUCUGUGAAAGUAUUUUCAGGCAAAAGGGAGCAUAGCUCCUCUGGGCUGCUGGAGUGGGACUCCAAGAGUGACGCCCUGGAGACCUUGGGCUUCCUGAACCACUAUCAUAUGAAAAGCCCAAAUGGCCCAUAUCCAUACACUCUGAAGUUGUGCUUCUCCACCGCACAACACGCCUCCUAAUUAGAUGCUGGGAAGGAAGACUCCAUCCGAGCAGGAAGAUGUUUCUUUCCUUUAUGCUGUUGGUUUCUUUGUUUUGUUUUUAUUUUUGCAGUUCUUUUUUUUCCUAAUAAAUGCUAGGUCAGUAGAGGCUUAACCACAAGAAAUGCUGGAACUCUGGAGGGUGGGGGAGGGGAACUGGUAUUUCCCAAGAUUAACCUUCACUUUUUAAAAUAACUGAAGUGUGAUUCUUUUUUUCCUGUUCAUACAUUUGUGCUGCCCAUGUAUCUUGGCACAUUUCAAUAAAAUUGUUUGGAAAAUAA